Molecule: transfer RNA, 62 nt
Filed under: Campylobacter coli
Lineage: Bacteria; Pseudomonadati; Campylobacterota; Epsilonproteobacteria; Campylobacterales; Campylobacteraceae
Also listed under: 3 other names
Rfam family: tRNA
About the family: Transfer RNA (tRNA) molecules are approximately 80 nucleotides in length. Their secondary structure includes four short double-helical elements and three loops (D, anti-codon, and T loops). Further hydrogen bonds mediate the characteristic L-shaped molecular structure. tRNAs have two regions of fundamental functional importance: the anti-codon, which is responsible for specific mRNA codon recognition, and the 3' end, to which the tRNAs corresponding amino acid is attached (by aminoacyl-tRNA synthetases). tRNAs cope with the degeneracy of the genetic code in two manners: having more than one tRNA (with a specific anti-codon) for a particular amino acid; and 'wobble' base-pairing, i.e. permitting non-standard base-pairing at the 3rd anti-codon position.
Source: RNAcentral
GAUUAGCUCAGCGGUAGAGUAGUCGGCUGUUAACCGAUUGGUCGUAGGUUCGAAUCCUACAU